CCGCACGGGUGAGUAACACGUAUCCAACCUACCGAUAACUCUGGAAUAGCCUUCUGAAAGGAAGAUUAAUACAAGAUGGCAUCAUGAGUCCACAUGUUCACAUGAUUAAAGGUAUUCCGGUAGACGAUGGGGAUGCGUUCCAUUAGAUAGUAGGCGGGGUAACGGCCCACCUAGUCUUCGAUGGAUAGGGGUUCUGAGAGGAAGGUCCCCCACAUUGGAACUGAGACACGGUCCAA
Molecule: ribosomal RNA, 236 nt
Filed under: uncultured bacterium
Lineage: Bacteria
Description: partial 16S ribosomal RNA
Rfam family: Bacterial small subunit ribosomal RNA
Source: RNAcentral